Long non-coding RNA from Diachasmimorpha longicaudata, 259 nucleotides. RefSeq lists it as uncharacterized. The record is from RefSeq and is a predicted model, not a curated record. The transcript is spliced from 3 exons. Lineage: Eukaryota; Metazoa; Arthropoda; Insecta; Hymenoptera; Braconidae.
GGUGAAUAAUGGAAUUAUUGAAGAAAGUGAGAUAGCGAUAAUGUGCUUCGUGACGCCCACAAUCCAUCAUUGGAAUUUGAAUAUUAACAAGGUGCUACGUAAAAUUGGGUUGAAUGACGUGAACCGUGAAUCAAAUUCACCGUUCACCCAAGCCGGACAUACAAAUUACAAACAAUGAAGAACAAGACGAAGAAAAAUGGUAUGCCAUGUGAUUUAUUUUCUGAUUAGUAAAUUGUGAAAUAAAGGACAAUUUUGUUAA